AUACGGAGGUUGCAAGCGUUAUUCGGAAUCACUGGGCGUAAAGGACGCGUAGGCGGGUUGGCAAGUCAGAUGUGAAAUCCUACAGCUUAACUGUAGAACUGCAUUUGAAACUGCUAACCUAGAGUAUGGGAGGGGGAGAUGGAAUUAGUGGUGUAGGGGUAAAAUCCGUAGAUAUCACUAGGAAUACCGAAAGCGAAGGCGAUCUCCUGGAACAUAACUGACGCUAAGGCGUGAAAGCGUGGGGAGCAAACAGGAUUAGAUACCCUAGUAGUCC
RNAcentral lists this ribosomal RNA (274 nucleotides) under uncultured bacterium. RNAcentral's name for it is "partial 16S ribosomal RNA". It matches the Rfam family "Bacterial small subunit ribosomal RNA", at positions 523 to 796 of the family's 1533-position model. The record is from RNAcentral.